AAAAUCCGCAUAGCAUAACAUUGAGCUGUGAUGCCGAAGCCGUAUGGCGAAGUCAACUGAUGUCACGCUUCCAAGAAAAGCUUCUAGGGUUAAUUUAGUAAGUGCCCGUACCGAUAACCGACACAGGUAGGCGAGGAGAGAAUCCUAAGAUGAGCGAGAGAACUCUUGUUAAGGAACUCGGCAAAAUGACCCCGUAACUUCGGGAGAAGGGGUGCUUGUGAAAGCAAGCCGCAGUGAAUAGGCCCAGGCGACUGUUUAUCAAAAACACAGGUCUCUGCUAAACCGCAAGGUGAUGUAUAGGGGCUGACGCCUGCCCGGUGCUGGAAGGUUAAGAGGAGAGGUUAGCGCAAGCGAAGCUUUGAAUUGAAGCCCCAGUAAACGGCGGCCGUAACUAUAACGGUCCUAAGGUAGCGAAAUUCCUUGUCGGGUAAGUUCCGACCCGCACGAAAGGCGUAACGAUCUGGGCGCUGUCUCAACAAGAGACUCGGUGAAAUCAUAGUACUUGUGAAGAUGCAGGUUACCCGCGACAGGACGGAAAGACCCCGUGGAGCUUUACUGUAGCUUGAUAUUGAGCACUGGUGACACAUGUACAGGAUAGGUAGGAGACGAAGAAGCCAGGACGCCAGUCUUGGUGGAGUCGCUGUUGGGAUACUACCCUUGUGUUACUGGGGUUCUAACCCGUGGCCAUGAUCUGGUCAGGGAACAGUGUCAGGUGGGCAGUUUGACUGGGGCGGUCGCCUCCCAAAGAGUAACGGAGGCGCCCAAAGGUUCCCUCAGAAUGGUUGGAAAUCAUUCGAAGAGUGUAAAGGCAGAAGGGAGCUUGACUGCGAGACCUACAAGUCGAGCAGGGACGAAAGUCGGGCUUAGUGAUCCGGCGGUACCGAAUGGAAGGGCCGUCGCUCAACGGAUAAAAGCUACCCCGGGGAUAACAGGCUGAUCUCCCCCAAGAGUUCACAUCGACGGGGAGGUUUGGCACCUCGAUGUCGGCUCAUCGCAUCCUGGGGCUGUAGUCGGUCCCAAGGGUUGGGCUGUUCGCCCAUUAAAGCGGUACGCGAGCUGGGUUCAGAACGUCGUGAGACAGUUCGGUCCCUAUCCGUCGUGGGCGUAGGAAAUUUGAGAGGAGCUGUCCUUAGUACGAGAGGACCGGGAUGGACACACCGCUGGUGUACCAGUUGUUCUGCCAGGAGCAUAGCUGGGUAGCUACGUGUGGACGGGAUAAACGCUGAAAGCAUCUAAGCGUGAAGCCCCCCUCAAGAUGAGAUUUCCCAUUCGAAAGAAGUAAGAUCCCUUGAAGACGACAAGGUAGAUAGGUCAGAAGUGGAAGUGUGGUGACACAUGGAGCGGACUGAUACUAAUCGAUCGAGGACUUAACCUA
This 1375-nucleotide ribosomal RNA is filed under the name metagenome. Its description in RNAcentral is "bacterial LSU rRNA". It matches the Rfam family "Bacterial large subunit ribosomal RNA", at positions 1537 to 2925 of the family's 2925-position model. The record is from RNAcentral.